RNAcentral lists this ribosomal RNA (814 nucleotides) under uncultured bacterium. RNAcentral's name for it is "bacterial SSU rRNA". It matches the Rfam family "Bacterial small subunit ribosomal RNA", at positions 8 to 803 of the family's 1533-position model. The record is from RNAcentral.
AGAGUUUGAUCAUGGCUCAGAUUGAACGCUGGCGGCAUGCCUUACACAUGCAAGUCGAACGGUAACAGGUCUUCGGACGCUGACGAGUGGCGAACGGGUGAGUAAUACAUCGGAACGUGCCCAGUCGUGGGGGAUAACUACUCGAAAGAGUAGCUAAUACCGCAUACGAUCUGAGGAUGAAAGCGGGGGACCUUCGGGCCUCGCGCGAUUGGAGCGGCCGAUGGCAGAUUAGGUAGUUGGUGGGAUAAAAGCUUACCAAGCCGACGAUCCGUAGCUGGUCUGAGAGGACGACCAGCCACACUGGGACUGAGACACGGCCCAGACUCCUACGGGAGGCAGCAGUGGGGAAUUUUGGACAAUGGGCGAAAGCCUGAUCCAGCAAUGCCGCGUGCAGGAUGAAGGCCUUCGGGUUGUAAACUGCUUUUGUACGGAACGAAAAAGCUUCUCCUAAUACGAGAGGCCCAUGACGGUACCGUAAGAAUAAGCACCGGCUAACUACGUGCCAGCAGCCGCGGUAAUACGUAGGGUGCGAGCGUUAAUCGGAAUUACUGGGCGUAAAAGCGUGCGCAGGCGGUUAUGUAAGACAGAUGUGAAAUCCCCCGGGCUCAACCUGGGAACUGCAUUUGUGACUGCAUGGGCUAGAGUGCGGAGAGGGGGGGGGAUGGAAAUUUCCGGGGGUGUAGCAGUGAAAUGCGUAGAAUAUGGGGGAGGAAACACCGAAUGGCGAAAGGCAAUCCCCUGGACCUGUACUGACGCUCAUGCACGAAAGCGUGGGGAACAAACAGGAUUAGAUAACCCUGGUAGUCCACGCCUA